AUACUUUGGUAGCACAUAUACUACAAUUGGAAUGAUACAAAGAAGAUUAGCAUGACCCCUGCACAAGGAUGACACGAAAAAUAAAAGGUAUGGAAGGAACCAGUUUUA
Small nuclear RNA from Heteronotia binoei (common prickly gecko), 108 nucleotides. NCBI's taxonomy places the organism in Eukaryota, Metazoa, Chordata, Lepidosauria, Squamata, Gekkonidae. The record is from RefSeq and is a predicted model, not a curated record.